UCACAUUGCAUGACAUACAAUGUUAGUGUUUUCUUUUUUCACAUAUUUGCACUUUGCCAAUUACACUUCUCUGUUAAUAAAAAUCAGCCUGGUCUCAUAGACUAGACGUAACAUAGCAAACGUAAAUCUGGGACACACACAUUUGGUAUGGUUACAUAACUUAACCUUUUCACAUGCGAGUUCCAAAUAUCUCUAAUGGUUGACCCAGUGUGAGUUUUUUUUAUGCACGUCAUGCACGUCAGAAUGCACUCAGAAUGCACUCAGAAUGCACUCACUGCUCCAAAAUGUGAUUGUUACGCAACAGGACUGUGAAUCCGCGCUGCCCUCAAACUAAGGCACGCUGCCUGCUUUUAUCUAUAGGCUGUUUCAACUUGUCAAUUUCAAACAAGUUUUAUUUUCAAACAACAGUUUGAAUUUAGGUGUGUUCCGCCUCCUCAUUAAUUCACACAAAAGUAGGCCAUUUUACUUUUGCAGACAAUUUAUGUUCUGGGCUUUACUGAGCCCGACAAACUUCCCCAAGCACUUCCCAAUUGUUUCCCGCAGAUCAAGAAUGCAGACAUUUGCGCACUUCCAGGCAGAACAGGACCUGCACAAACUUUUCACAUUUUCACAUUUUCAGGCUGGUGCUUGCUUCGCCUUCAUUGUUGUUUUCAUUACUUCAUUACAUGUGUUUGUUUCUAUUAAAGUAAGUGCCUUGUUACAUUAUAAUAGUUUCUGUAUGUCCUGUUAUGUCAUUUCUACUGUAGCUCACUGUAUGUAUGGAGCAUAAUAUAUUUGUAACCGCAGACACGCAAGGUAACGUGACUAAUUGCACAACCUUUAUGGUGUUAUACUCAAUCAUGCUCAUGUAGCUAGCUACAUUCUUCUAUUAGCUCUGUAAAACAAUGCUAAUUGCGUUUGAGAAGUAUUAGCUUGUGUUGUCUUUUGAAGCUACCCUGGCCUUAUGACCAUGGUUUGUUUUCGUUUGGCCUGUUUAGCAUAGCUCUGUUCUGCCCUGCCACCUUGUGGACAUCAACAGGUAUUGUUUCUUACUGUUUUUAUUGCAGUGUUGUUAUGUUACUUCUUUGUAAAAUAGUUUUAUUGCUAUAUCCUGAUAUUGCAUUCUAAUGACUAAUAAUUCCUCUUUAUUCUGUACUUUCAGAAACCACACACACAUCAUUGAACAUUAUUUGCCAAUAUCAUAACUGGAGCUGAAAACUGAGGCCAGCUUUUGUAUGCUAGUGUACACUCCUUAACAGUUGUACUGGAUGAAAACACAGCAAGAAAACAAAGAGGCCUAUAUGUAGUAGUCGUCUAUUUUAUUGAAGUAUUGGUGGUGGUCGAACAACAAUAACAAAAACAACAUCAACCCCCCCCCCCCUCUCCCCCACAUAGUAUCAUGGCAGAUUACCAGUCAAGUCACCAGUCAAGUCAGUCAGUCAGUAAUUGCUGCAGAUGUGCUCAAUAGUGCUUGAGCAUAUUUGUACUCCCAAAAGCAUGGUGAAACACAUAGAGGUGUGUCACAAGCUGAACACAUGUACUUUGUCAACCUCGUAUGCUUCCUUUUCCUGGUGCCAGACAGGCAGACUUUGCCGUGCCUCCGUGUGCGACUACCUGACGGCAACAGUUUGACGGACUUUGCAGGGAAAAUGCCGUGCAGUGAGGUGUAGGGGAUUGUCUGCAGCAGGACGGCCCCCAGUGGAUCGGCGCUGAGGGGUGUGGUGCUCCUCCAGCAGCUCUCUCAUGAGGUUUUCUCUGUACAUUUGGUGGUCCACCUUCCCUGUGGCCGACAUGGUUGCUGUCUGGACAGUGGAGAGGACAUGCCACUUUUACUGCCAGUUGUUGACUGUUCUCCUUGAACUCCAACUCCCCUCUCUGCAUCUUCCUCCAUCCGAAUGCUGGCAUCCCCUUCCUGUUAGACCUGACUGUGCCACAGGCUCCUGUGCUGUUGGAAGAGCAGAAGCUGGAAGAGUGUGGGACUGCUGUACCAACUGUCCCCAUACAAAGUGUGUCCCUUGCUGAGAUGAGGAGCCAGCAUGGUCAUCACCGUGGACCUGGACACCACAAGACCCUCAUAAUGUUGGACGUUACCGUGCUUCUACACCUGCAUUGCUUGCUGUUUGGGGUUUUAGGCUGGGUUUCUGUACAGCACUUUGAGAUAUCAGCUGAUGUACGAAGGGCUAUAUAAAUACAUUUUAUUUUAUUUUAUUUUGAUUUGACGUCAGUAGUGGACCCUGGGUAAACUAUAAUGUCCUGGACAAAUCCUGUCUUCACGUCGCACAUGACAAAUAACUUGACCCCAAACCUGUGCCUUUUGGAGGCAAUAUAUUGACGGAACGCCAGCCUACCCUUCCAUAACAUCAGGGACUCAUCAAUGAAUAGGUCCUUGUAUGGCACAAAGAACUGACCAAAUGUUGACGUCAGGCUGUAUUCUCUUAGGGAAUUCUUCUUUACUAUCCCCAUGAGAAGGACUGUCACCAGGAAGCUCCAAGGCAUAGCGAUUGGUCUCCUCUACUAUGUCUCCCACCAGCUCCUCUGUCAGAAACAGCUUGAAGCACUCUGCCACAGAGGGAAAUGGCAAGGGGCUUUUGCACUCCAGACUGGAACUCGUCAAAGCAAACAGCAGGGUCAGGAGGACUGAAAUGGCUGGCGGCCUUCCAGCUACCACAGACUUCCUGUACUUCAUCCACUGCCGGUCUGCCUCCAUCACCAUCAGCAUCUUCAAAGUGACCUGGGACUUCAUCAGUGGACAAGGGGUCUUCAGAUUCAGGGUUCUCAAUGGCUACAAGGUUUGGGGGCAACUCCUCACUUUCACUAUCACUGUCAGAAUCUUAUUACUGACUUUCAUACUCUGACUCAUUGUCAGAAUUUAUAAAAAAUCUCCAGAAUUUCCGCAUUUGUGAGUCUCCUUUUAAAAGACAUUGCGAAAGCUACAGCUUAGCUCACUAGCUACACACAUAAAUAACAACACUGAAUGGCUCAGAGUGGGAGUGAGAGGUUACGUGAUUGACUGCAUGCACGCGCCACUUGUAUCAAUAAAUCACUGUCAGAAAAUGUUUUGUGUGGUAAUUAUUUAUUUAUUUAUUUACUGUUUUAUUCACGUUUUCAAGUACUGGUGACAAAUCAUGCAUUCCGAUUCUUUCAUAGAUUACAAUGGACACAUAUUAUGUGUGUAAAAUACUUUUUUUUAAUGAUUGUACUGAUUAUGAUGAGUUAAGCUAAUUCUAGCUAUGUGUGGAGCCAUGUUUGUUGACAUACAAUGCAUUCUGGGUUUCACGUCUGUCGGACCGAAGAUUUUUCAAGUAAACUUCCAGAAGUGAAUGAUGGGAUGUGAACGAUGGUAGACAACACACUCCCUUUAACAUGCAUACUAUAAAUAGACCAAACUCAUCUAGUCUCCUCCUAUAAUCUUUGGUUGAUGCAAAAAAUAAACAUGGUGGCACGCACAAACUACCCAUCGUCGGAUAACUUUCGAUUUCUAGAAACUGUUUUACUCAAUUAUUUUGAUCAAUGGUGAGCUCACCCAUGAUGUGACUAAUUAUGCUGUAGCUACUUCUGUGAUUGUCUGAACAUUGCAUCCAAAAAAUAAACUUGUCACAUUC
Long non-coding RNA from Oncorhynchus kisutch (coho salmon), 3581 nucleotides. RefSeq lists it as uncharacterized. The record is from RefSeq and is a predicted model, not a curated record. The transcript has 4 exons. Lineage: Eukaryota; Metazoa; Chordata; Actinopteri; Salmoniformes; Salmonidae.